UACGUAGGGUGCGAGCGUUGUCCGGAAUUAUUGGGCGUAAAGGGCUCGUAGGCGGUCUGUUGCGUCGGGAGUGAAAACUCAGGGCUUAACCCUGAGCCUGCUUCCGAUACGGGCAGACUAGAGGUAUGCAGGGGAGAACGGAAUUCCUGGUGUAGCGGUGGAAUGCGCAGAUAUCAGGAGGAACACCGAUGGCGAAGGCAGCUCGCUGGGACGUUACUGACGCUGAGACGCGAAAGCGUGGGGAGCAAACAGG
This 253-nucleotide ribosomal RNA is filed under the name uncultured bacterium. RNAcentral's name for it is "partial 16S ribosomal RNA". It matches the Rfam family "Bacterial small subunit ribosomal RNA", at positions 524 to 776 of the family's 1533-position model. The record is from RNAcentral.